UCUUAUGGCCAUGCCACCCUGAGCCCGAUGUCUGAUCUUGGGAGCUAAGCAGGGUCGUGCCUGGUUAGUGCUUGGAUGGGAUUAUUUAUGCCUACAGCACCUAGGAAGACCAGGUGCUGUAGGCA
This 125-nucleotide ribosomal RNA is filed under the name Pteropus alecto (black flying fox). Lineage: Eukaryota; Metazoa; Chordata; Mammalia; Chiroptera; Pteropodidae. The record is from RNAcentral.